This 417-nucleotide ribosomal RNA is filed under the name uncultured Gammaproteobacteria bacterium. RNAcentral's name for it is "bacterial SSU rRNA". It matches the Rfam family "Bacterial small subunit ribosomal RNA", at positions 370 to 779 of the family's 1533-position model. The record is from RNAcentral. Lineage: Bacteria; Pseudomonadati; Pseudomonadota; Gammaproteobacteria.
AAUGGGCGCAAGCCUGAUCCAGCAAUGCCGCGUGUGUGAAGAAGGCCCUCGGGUUGUAAAGCACUUUUAUCAGGAGCGAAAUCUGCAGAGUUAAUACCUCUGUAGUCUGACGGUACCUGAGGAAUAAGCACCGGCUAACUCCGUGCCAGCAGCCGCGGUAAUACGGAGGGUGCAAGCGUUAAUCGGAAUUACUGGGCGUAAAGCGUGCGUAGGCGGUUUGUUAAGUCUGUUGUGAAAGCCCCGGGCUCAACCUGGGAAUGGCAAUGGAUACUGGCAAGCUAGAGUGUGAUAGAGGAUGGUGGAAUUCCCGGUGUAGCGGUGAAAUGCGUAGAGAUCGGGAGGAACAUCAGUGGCGAAGGCGGCCAUCUGGAUCAACACUGACGCUGAGGCACGAAAGCGUGGGGAGCAAACAGGAUU